GACGAACGCUGGCGGCGUGCUUAACACAUGCAAGUCGAACGGAAAGGCCCUGCUUUUGUGGGGUGCUCGAGUGGCGAACGGGUGAGUAACACGUGAGUAACCUGCCCUUGACUUUGGGAUAACUUCAGGAAACUGGGGCUAAUACCGGAUAGGAGCUCCUGCCGCAUGGUGGGGGUUGGAAAGUUUCGGCGGUUGGGGAUGGACUCGCGGCUUAUCAGCUUGUUGGUGGGGUAGUGGCUUACCAAGGCUUUGACGGGUAGCCGGCCUGAGAGGGUGACCGGCCCCAUUGGGACUGAGAUACGGCCCAGACUCCUACGGGAGGCAGAAGUGGGGAAUAUUGCACAAUGGGCGGCAGCCUGAUGCAGCAACGCCGCGUGCGGGAUGACGGCCUUCGGGUUGUAAACCGCUUUCGCCUGUGACGAAGCGUGAGUGACGGUAAUGGGUAAAGAAGCACCGGCUAACUACGUG
RNAcentral lists this ribosomal RNA (468 nucleotides) under uncultured bacterium. RNAcentral describes it as "partial 16S ribosomal RNA". It matches the Rfam family "Bacterial small subunit ribosomal RNA", at positions 28 to 507 of the family's 1533-position model. The record is from RNAcentral.